RNAcentral lists this ribosomal RNA (816 nucleotides) under Escherichia coli. Its description in RNAcentral is "bacterial LSU rRNA". It matches the Rfam family "Bacterial large subunit ribosomal RNA", at positions 398 to 1215 of the family's 2925-position model. The record is from RNAcentral. Lineage: Bacteria; Pseudomonadati; Pseudomonadota; Gammaproteobacteria; Enterobacterales; Enterobacteriaceae.
UGUGAGCUCGAUGAGUAGGGCGGGACACGUGGUAUCCUGUCUGAAUAUGGGGGGACCAUCCUCCAAGGCUAAAUACUCCUGACUGACCGAUAGUGAACCAGUACCGUGAGGGAAAGGCGAAAAGAACCCCGGCGAGGGGAGUGAAAAAGAACCUGAAACCGUGUACGUACAAGCAGUGGGAGCACGCUUAGGCGUGUGACUGCGUACCUUUUGUAUAAUGGGUCAGCGACUUAUAUUCUGUAGCAAGGUUAACCGAAUAGGGGAGCCGAAGGGAAACCGAGUCUUAACUGGGCGUUAAGUUGCAGGGUAUAGACCCGAAACCCGGUGAUCUAGCCAUGGGCAGGUUGAAGGUUGGGUAACACUAACUGGAGGACCGAACCGACUAAUGUUGAAAAAUUAGCGGAUGACUUGUGGCUGGGGGUGAAAGGCCAAUCAAACCGGGAGAUAGCUGGUUCUCCCCGAAAGCUAUUUAGGUAGCGCCUCGUGAAUUCAUCUCCGGGGGUAGAGCACUGUUUCGGCAAGGGGGUCAUCCCGACUUACCAACCCGAUGCAAACUGCGAAUACCGGAGAAUGUUAUCACGGGAGACACACGGCGGGUGCUAACGUCCGUCGUGAAGAGGGAAACAACCCAGACCGCCAGCUAAGGUCCCAAAGUCAUGGUUAAGUGGGAAACGAUGUGGGAAGGCCCAGACAGCCAGGAUGUUGGCUUAGAAGCAGCCAUCAUUUAAAGAAAGCGUAAUAGCUCACUGGUCGAGUCGGCCUGCGCGGAAGAUGUAACGGGGCUAAACCAUGCACCGAAGCUGCGGCAGCGACACU